GGUCAAAUGUAUAAGGGCGUGCGAUGGAUGCCUUGGCAUCAGCAGGCGAUGAAGGACGUGGUAAGCUGCGAUAAGCUUCGGGUAGUGGCAUACACACUAUGAUCCGGAGAUUUCCGAAUGGGGGAACCCAGCUGGGGUAAUGCUCAGUUACUGGAGUUUGAAUAAAAUAGGGCUUCAGAGCGACACCGGGGGAAGUGAAACAUCUCAGUACCCCGAGGAAAAGAAAACAAAAGUGAUUCCCUGAGUAGUGGCGAGCGAACGGGGAACAGCCUAAACCAAUCAGCAUGCUGGUUGGGGUUGCGGGACAUCAACGUGGUAUUUCAGAAGCAUAGCGGAACGGUCUGGAAAGUCCGGCCAGAGAAGGUGAAAGCCCUGUAUGCGAAAUGUGGAUGAAACCUAGAUGUAUCCCAAGUAGGACGGGACACGUGAAACCCUGUCUGAAUCCGGCGGGCCCACCCGCCAAGGCUAAAUACUAGCUGAUGACCGAUAGUGAACUAGUACCGCGAGGGAAAGGUGAAAAGUACCCCUGUUAGGGGAGUGAAAUAGUACCUGAAAUCGUACGCUUACAAACUAUGGUAGUCCCGUUUAACGGGAUGGCCGUUUGCCUUUUGCAUAAUGAGUCCGCGAGUUACAGUAUGUGGCAAGGUUAACUCAAUGGAGGUAGCCGAAGCGAAAGCGAGUAUGAAAUGUGCGACACAGUCGCACGCUGUAGACCAGAAGCCGAGUGAGCUACCCAUGGCCAGGCUGAAAUUUCGGUAACACGAAACGGAGGGCCGAACCAUUGCGUGUUGAAAAACGCUUGGAUGAGCUGUGGGUUGGAGUGAAAGGCUUACCAAACUCGGUGAUAGCUGGUUCUCUUCGAAAUAGCUUUAGGGUUAGCCUGCGCUAAUGCUCGUGCUGGAGGUAGAGCACUGAUUGGAUGAUGGCCCUUACCAGGGUACUGACGCCACUCAAACUCCGAAUGCCAGCUCAGUCAAGCGUGGAGUUAGACUGCGGGGGAUAAGCUCCGUAGUCGAGAGGGAAACAGCCCAGACCGCCAGCUAAGGCCCCGGAAGUUAGUUAAGUGACUAAGGAUGUGAAAUUGCAUGGACAGCUAGGAUGUUGGCUUAGAGGCAGCCACCAUUUAAACAGUGCGUAACAGCUGACUAGUCGAGUGAUUUUGCGCCGAAAAUGAUCGGGACUAAAACUAACUGCCGAAGCUGCGGACCUCGAUUUAUCGGGGUGGUAGAAGAGCGUUCUAUUCGAGCCGAAGCGGAAGGGUAACCGACCGUGGAUUGAAUAGAAGUGAGUAUGCGGACAUGAGUAACGAAAAGCAGGGUGAGAAUCCCUGCCGCCGAAAUCUCAAGGUUUCCUGGGGAAGGUUCGUCCGCCCAGGUUAGUCGGCCCCUAAGCCGAGGCCGAAAGGCGUAGGUGAUGGGUAACAGGUUUAAUAUUCCUGUACUGCCAGUCCAGUGUUUGAGCGAUGGAGUGACACAGGAGGCUAGAUCGGCCGUCGAUUGGAAGUGACGGUCUAAGUUCGUAGGACGUUCCGGCAGGCAAAUCCACCGGAACAUUGUCUGAAAAACGAUGGGACACAAAGCUCUCGGGUGAUGUGGAUCGAUCGAUGCCAUGCUGUCAAGAAAAACUUCUAGUUAAUUGGAUAGGUAACCGUACCAAAACCGACACAGGUGAGAAGGUAGAAUAUACCAAGGCGCGCGAGAGAACCCUCGUUAAGGAACUCGGCAAUCUAGCCCCGUAACUUAGGGAGAAGGGGUCCUUCUAGCGGUGAUUCAUUAGAUGAGCUGCCGGAAGGCGCAGUGAAAGAGUCCAGGCGACUGUUUACCAAAAACAUAGCACUCUGCAAACUCGUAAGAGGACGUAUAGAGUGUGACACGUGACCAAUGCCAAAAGGUUAAGGUGAGUUGUUAUCCACUUCGGUGGAGAAGCUUCGACCCGAAGCCCUGGUGAAUGUCGGCCGUAACUAUAACGGUCCUAAGGUAGCGAAAUUCCUUGUCGGGUAAGUUCCGACCUGCACGAAUCGUGUAACGAUCUGGACGCUGUCUCAACGAGGAUCUCGGUGAAGUUGUAAUUCCGGUGAAGAUGCCGGAUACCCGCAGUAGGACGGAAAGACCCCGUGAACCUUUACUGUAGUCUGAUAUUGGUGUUUGGUUUAUCAUGUGUAGUAUAGCUGGGAGACUUUGAAGUCAUGUCGUCAGGCAUGGCGGAGUCAUUAGUGAAAUACCAGUCUUGUUAAGGCGAGCAUCUAACCCUGGCCCGUGAAUCCGGGUGGGGGACAAUGUCAGAGGGUCAGUUUGACUGGGGCGGUUUCCUCCUAAAAAGUAACGGAGGAGUUCGAAGGUACCCUCAGCAUGGUCAGCAAUCAUGCGUCGAGCGCAAUGGUAUAUAGGGUGCUUAACUGCGAGACAGACAUGUCGAGCAGAUGCGAAAGCAGGACAUAGUGAUCCGGUGGUAGCUAGUGGUAGCGCCAUCGCUCAACGGACAAAAGGUACUCCGGGGAUAACAGGCUGAUCGCUGCCGAGAGUUCACAUCGACGCAGCGGUUUGGCACCUCGAUGUCGGCUCAUCACAUCCUGGGGCUGGAGAAGGUCCCAAGGGUUUGGCUGUUCGCCAAUUAAAGUGGUACGCGAGCUGGGUUCAGAACGUCGUAAGACAGUUCGGUCCUUAUCCACUGUGGGCGUAGGAAAUUUGAGGAGAACAUUCCUUAGUACGAGAGGACUUGGAAUGACGUACCUCUGGUGUUCCAGUUGUUCCGCCAGGAGCAUCGCUGGGUAGCUAUGUACGGAACGGAUAAGCGCUGAAAGCAUCUAAGCGCCAAGCCUCCUCCAAGACUAGAUUUCCCUUGGCCUUCGGGCCACUGUAGGCAGGUUGAAGACUACGACCUUGAUAGGCUGGGUGUGUAAGUUCAGCGAUGAAUUAAGCUUACCAGUACUAAUCAGCCGUGAGGUUUGAUCUU
This is a ribosomal RNA of 2952 nucleotides. It matches the Rfam family "Bacterial large subunit ribosomal RNA". The record is from Rfam.